CACGGAUGCUGAGCUUCGGGUAACUCGCACAGUGGAAGACCUGUUCCUUCUACCCAAGAAAGAACAGUUAAUGAAGCCACAUGAGCAUCCCUCCCUGCCAACAGGUGUACACCUUAGAGAAGAGACAGACAAGUAUAUGACGUAAUCGGAUAAAUGUCUCGACAAUCUAUUACAGCAGCUCAACAAAGGGCCACCUAAUUGAACCUGGAAGUAUCAGGAAGGCUUCCUGGAAAACGUGAUAGCUAAGUGGAGUUUUUAACAAUAGUAGUAAUAAU
This 275-nucleotide long non-coding RNA is filed under the name Homo sapiens (human). RNAcentral describes it as "HSALNT0332902". The record is from RNAcentral. Lineage: Eukaryota; Metazoa; Chordata; Mammalia; Primates; Hominidae.